CAUAGGUAGUGAACUUACUGAUGGCUGGACAGAGACUGUGUGCUGAUUCUCAUGUUCUGACAGG
Molecule: small nucleolar RNA, 64 nt
Organism: Oryctolagus cuniculus (rabbit)
Lineage: Eukaryota; Metazoa; Chordata; Mammalia; Lagomorpha; Leporidae
Source: Ensembl